RNAcentral lists this ribosomal RNA (486 nucleotides) under uncultured bacterium. RNAcentral describes it as "bacterial SSU rRNA". It matches the Rfam family "Bacterial small subunit ribosomal RNA", at positions 30 to 507 of the family's 1533-position model. The record is from RNAcentral.
AUUGAACGCUGGCGGCAUGCCUUACACAUGCAAGUCGAACGGUAACAGGUCUUCGGAUGCUGACGAGUGGCGAACGGGUGAGUAAUACAUCGGAACGUGCCCGAUCGUGGGGGAUAACGCAGCGAAAGCUGUGCUAAUACCGCAUACGAUCUACGGAUGAAAGCGGGAGACUCGCAAGACCUCGCGCGGACGGAGCGGCCGAUGGCAGAUUAGGUAGUUGGUGGGAAUAAAGCUUACCAAGCCGACGAUCUGUAGCUGGUCUGAGAGGACGACCAGCCACACUGGGACUGAGACACGGCCCAGACUCCUACGGGAGGCAGCAGUGGGAAUUUUGGACAAUGGGCGCAAGCCUGAUCCAGCCAUGCCGCGUGCAGGAUGAAGGCCGUUCGGGUUAGUAAACUGUCUUUUGUACGGAAACGAAAAAGCUCUCUCUAAUACAGGGGGUGAAUGACGGUACCGUAAGAAUAAGCACCGGCUAACUACGUG